Molecule: ribosomal RNA, 254 nt
Filed under: uncultured bacterium
Lineage: Bacteria
Description: partial 16S ribosomal RNA
Rfam family: Bacterial small subunit ribosomal RNA
Source: RNAcentral
UACGUAGGUGACAAGCGUUGUCCGGAUUUACUGGGCGUAAAGAGCGCGCAGGCGGUCGAUCAAGUCGAGUGUGAAAGCCCCCGGCUCAACUGGGGAGGGUCAUUCGAUACUGAUCGACUCGAAGGCAGGAGAGGGUAGUGGAAUUCCCGGUGUAGUGGUGAAAUGCGUAGAUAUCGGGAGGAACACCAAUGGCGAAGGCGACUACCUGGCCUGUUCUUGACGCUGAGGCGCGAAAGCUAGGGGAGCAAACGGGG